GUAUCAAUAUUCAAAAUAUGGAGAGAUUCAGAACAAUCUUCCCUGGACAUAAAAUAAUUCUUCAUGCAUUAAAAUAAGCAGGAGAGAGUGAGGAAGGAAAAAUAAAAUUUGGUAUUAAAUAUAAUGAGGUAAGGAGCCUGGAAAUCAUACAGUCUUCCUGUAUCAGUGUUUCUUUCAUCAUUUUGCACUUCCAGGGCAGGACAGUGGAAUGGUGUAUGGUUGGUAUAUGAUCAGUCUUUAGCAACAGAGAAGCAUCCUUCCUGGAAUGAAUGCUAAGUGCAGAUUUGGAGGGGUACUCCUGUGGUGGAGCUUGUAAACGAUCCAGUUCCACUUUUAAGGAAAUAUCAGAAGUGGAUGGUGUCUCUGAGUUUUUAUUUUCCAUUUCAGAACAUUAUGAAUGACAGGAAACAGCAAUGCUUGCCUUUUGUCUUGAAAUAUUUCAUGUCUCUAUGGAAGAUGUGUUCAAAAGACUUACUUUAUGUUGACAUGAGCAGCCAUAUAGGCGUAACAGUAGCAAAUUGCAUUUUUCUCUUAGCUGGCUUGGAAAACAAUCCAAGCUUGAAGUUAACUUCUGAACAGUUGUAAUGUCAAGAACAAGAAGUUGAAACUGGCACAUAGGAGCCCAUUUGUGAAAGAUCUGCUUUCUGGUGGCUUGACCUCAUCUGUGGCAUACUGGUGGUCUGAGCUUGAAAUCAAAGAUGGAAUAGUCCUGGUGAAGGUCUGUUCCCUGCAUGUUUGCUUAUUCUGUACAAGUUUCUGUCAUCAACUCCUCAGCCUGGGAAAUGGCACCCAGGAAAGUAGGGUGUUACUUUUUAAAUAUUAGCUACAAGUUUGAUCGGGGGGUUUAUACUUGUCCAUAGAACUUGCCACAGAUGAAAUUCGCCUGAUGCUGUGAUGUCUUUUGGAUACAAGAUAAUAUGCUAUUUCAUACUUUAUGUUUAAAACAGCACUUUUCCUUUGUUUUGUACUGAAAUUUAGGAUAGAAAAAGAACCAGAAGUGGGCUCUGAAUUGUUUCAUCACCUUUUUUCUCAUGUAAAACUCCUAGUUGCUUUGUGACGAUUUGCUUAAGCAUGGACUUUGAUGUUUUGGCUUCUAUAUGAACUAAUUAAAUAAUCCUAUUUUCAGGAAGUUUGACCAGUAGGCACACAUGCGUAUACUGGAAUGUAAUGAUAUUAAACUAAUCAUUACUGGUCCAGACAGUCCUGUGAGUUUGGAUGGGACAAUAUGAUGUGAAAACAAUGUGGGUUUGAAUCACAAGGACCACAGUCCAUUUCAGGCUUUUUUUUUUUACCAUCACCUCACCAUUUCUUUUUCAGUCUUUGUCUCAUUUCCUAAUAUAUAUUUGCAAGGAUAAAUAGCUAGAUCAAGUUAUUUUGGUGGUGCUGUUUCUUCCCAGUGGCAUUAAGCCGUGACAUUCAAUCCCCAGCAGCACAGCCAAGCAGCAUUUGAGCAUCUCCAUGUGCAUUAGUUAUGUCAGACAUCAAAGCAGGAAGCUCACAGUGAGGUCCGACCUCACCCAUAUUAUUAAAUUUAAAGAUGAUGUCAAUACUGUUGUGAGUUAUACAUCAAAUAUAAACUGAUUACAGAACAUUUCUGAAUGUUAAACUACCUCAGAUUGCCUCAAUCGGUGCAAUUAGAUGAUGAAUGUAAUUUACAUGUUGAGCAGUGGAAAAAUUCUUACUUGUACUAGCAAGGAUAUAUUAAACAAUGUCUCCAGCCAAUUUCCUUCCCUUAACAUCCUUUGCUUCUUAAGUUAUUGUUUAAUACACUUCCUAAUCCUAAAUUAGUGCAGGUAGUGCUGGUUUAGUACAGUUUGGCACUGAUGUAGCGAUUGCACGUGUUUUCUUCUGACAGAUGUACAUGAUAAGAAGCUUUUAAUUUCUGGACUGAACAAUUACAGACUCGUUUUGCUGUUGAACUGAAUAUGCAAAUAAGUAUGAGGAAAACAGGCAAUGCUCCCAGAAGAGCCUCUGGUUUUCAAGCCUAGUCCAAUUAGUAAAGAAGGAAGCUUUCUUACACAGCUUUUACCAUGGUCUGUUUUACUGAUCAGAUAGAGAUUAUAAAUAUAGAUGGGACUGAACACUCUUCAGAUUGAAAAGUAACUAGGUAUAGAGUCAAUCCAUUAGAUCAAUAACUGAUUAGUGUAAUACAGGCUUAUAAAUACCAUCACAUUAAGUCAUCACAUGUAACAUGCUGAAAACAUACAGAGGUCUGCAGUGCUUUGAAGGUGCUCUAGAAAAUCCAAGGUAAACACAGAAAACCUUAUUUUUUGUAAUUUUUAAAAAAAGAGUUUAUCUUACCUAUGUAAUGUUUUUCCUUUUUGUACCUAUUUGUGGUAAGCAGCUGGAAUAUGCCUUCUGGAAACUGGCUGAAAGAUGCGGCAGCAAUGGCUGCAGAACUGCCAUCAACAUGUAUUUUACGUGAAUACAGAAACUCUCCACUGAAAGCACAGCAAAAAUGGACAAAGGAGACAAGAAUCUCAAACAAUCUCAGCCUGGACCUUUAUAGUCCAGUUCCUGUGUUUAAAAGCAGAAAUGUCCUAUUACUUUGUUGGAAACAUGAGGUUUAACACAAGGCCACUGAGGAAUGAAAGCCUGAUGCUCUCCUUCUAAGGGCUAUUUUUAUAUGGGGUAAUUAAAAAUUUCAGUGGGGUUCCACCUGAAAUAUGCCAGGAGAAUAUGACAUAGGAGGACAUGGCUUACAAGGGCAGACCAUAUAGAUUACUGUUUGCUAAAUGAUGGUGUCACCUAAGCUUGAGAACUCCAGGAAAUCCAGUGUGUCAGUGACUCUCCUCCUUUCUGAUCAGCUCUGGUGUGACACUGUGUGUGCACCUUGGCUUAUAUAAAGUUGUAGAUCUUCAGGAUUGAAGGCCUCUGGAAGAACCGUGUUUGGUAAGCUGCUUGUCAAGUGACUACUAAUUUAUCAGAGCAUACUUUUUUAAUUUUAUUUGGCUGAAAUUAAGAGCACUGAAAAUUAUUGCUGCAAACAGGACUAUAAAAGCCAAAGAAAAGCCAAGGGAAAAUACACAAGACUGGGUUUCUGAAAGAGAAAAGGGCAGAGGGCUGAGCCAAGCAACUGCCACCAUAAUCUGUCUCUAUUGAGUGGCUCCAGUUUUGACCAGCAAAAAAUGAGAGCAGCCAGAGGUACCUGGAGAUCCUGUGGCAAAAUACAAGUUUUCAGGUGUUGCCAUCUGUGUGUCUUUUCUGAGGGGGCAGGGAGAAGCUUCCCCAGCUGACCCUGCGCCUCCUCUUGAUACUCAGUAAUAGCACCCAUGCAAACCCUUUAGUCUGAGGAGGCAAAGCUCCAAUGAGCAAGCUCAAUGCGUUGACCAAGAGCCUCCAGCAUCUCUGUGUUCUCCUCCGCUCUCUCAUCCUGUGCACUGCCCUUCCAUCCUCCAUACUUAGAAUCAUCUUGAAAACUGUUUUCUACCACCAAGGACUUUGGAAUAAAGAGGAGGAAAGGCUAUUCACACCAGCAGAAGGAUGCUACUUCACUCUGUUAAUGGCUGCACGUUUA
Molecule: long non-coding RNA, 3517 nt
Organism: Neopsephotus bourkii (Bourke's parrot)
Lineage: Eukaryota; Metazoa; Chordata; Aves; Psittaciformes; Psittacidae
Exons: 2
Source: RefSeq, a predicted model, not a curated record